GCCUGGCUGGCUCAGUUGGUAGAGUAUGUGACUUUGGAUCUCAGAGUCCCAUGAGUUCAAGCCCCAUGCUAGAUG
This 75-nucleotide transfer RNA is filed under the name Canis lupus familiaris (dog). It matches the Rfam family "tRNA". Rfam says of the family: Transfer RNA (tRNA) molecules are approximately 80 nucleotides in length. Lineage: Eukaryota; Metazoa; Chordata; Mammalia; Carnivora; Canidae. RNAcentral also lists the same sequence under 2 other names. The record is from Rfam by way of RNAcentral.